GUGCUGGUUUUGGCAGCACAUGUAAUAAAUUACAAUGAUACAGAAAAGAUUAGCAUGGCCCCUGCCCAAGGAUGACACACAGAGUAACAAGAGGUUGUUAGAUAUGUCU
Molecule: small nuclear RNA, 109 nt
Organism: Dromiciops gliroides (monito del monte)
Lineage: Eukaryota; Metazoa; Chordata; Mammalia; Microbiotheria; Microbiotheriidae
Source: RefSeq, a predicted model, not a curated record